UGAUUUCUCGGCUGUCCCUAAACUGCGAAAGCGAAACGCGAAACGCGAAACGCCUAAAAUGCGGAAAAGCUGUGCGAAACGGACCCAAAAGUUGGGACCCUGUUUCGCAUUUUAGGCCUUGGGUCCGUACUAAAAUGCGAAAUCGGUGGGUGCGAAAUGUCAACAGAACGUCAACAGACGACGCCAUUAACAUACUUGCGUCACAAAAAUCUACUCGUCAAGGGGCGUAUCAAGUAAGUUAUCCGAGCAAUCGCGAUUCCAUAAGCAUACACGGGAAAAUCCCUCUACCGGGAAUCAGUUCGAACUAAAUUUUCCGUGUAUAAAAUUUGAUUGCUCCCCCCUUUCAAUGUCUUAAACAAAAAUAAUCCCACAGCGCCCAGCGGGCCGGAAUUUCUCUCAACAGUUGUUCGCCGAGGAAAAUCGGCUGACCAAGUCAAAUGGAAAAAACUAUCAGCCGAUAGCAGCCCGGCGUCUAAAUAUAUAUAGCUAUUCGAUUAAAAUUUAUUGAAAAUGCCACCCAGCUAAAACGUGCUGAAAGCUUCUUCCGCCUCUAUUCCACAAAGACUUAAUUGGAGAUUUCUCAUUCAAGAGCUCAUCCGAGGGACCCCCGUGCUCUUGAAGAAACAAGAGUAAUCGAGUCGACUAAAUAAAUUUAAUUUGAUAAGACUGUUUUCCCAUGAAAUACAAACAUUUUAUUUUCAAAA
Long non-coding RNA from Daphnia pulex (common water flea), 704 nucleotides. RefSeq lists it as uncharacterized. NCBI's taxonomy places the organism in Eukaryota, Metazoa, Arthropoda, Branchiopoda, Diplostraca, Daphniidae. The record is from RefSeq and is a predicted model, not a curated record. The transcript is spliced from 2 exons.